GUGAUUUCUUGGUGGGAAAAGUCAUUGUGUCUUUGUUAUGUUGUAAAGGAGAGGUUAGAAAAAUUAGUGUUUGUGGUCAAGUUCUUUAUUUCCUAAGUUGUUAACAGUCACUGGUGUGAAAGUAAGAGAAGGUAUUAGGUUAUAGAUUGAUGUACUACACUCAUCCCUCAGAUGAGUGUUGUUGGUUUGUACCUACAGAAUCUACUUGUUUGAUGUGAUCAGUAUAUAAACAGGAUAGAACUUUACAGCUGUUUGUUGAUUUGAUUUUAACAAUCCCGAACUCAUUUGACCCUUAGGGGCUCGGAUAAUUAUAUUUAUAUUGCGCCGAACCACCCCUAUUACAUAAUUUAA
Molecule: long non-coding RNA, 351 nt
Organism: Ruditapes philippinarum (Manila clam)
Lineage: Eukaryota; Metazoa; Mollusca; Bivalvia; Venerida; Veneridae
Exons: 3
Source: RefSeq, a predicted model, not a curated record